AUUAAUCAGUUUUUAUUCCGCCGGAAACCCCAGCCAAAAAUACGCAGCAGCCACAGAAAAUCUCCAGCAAGACCACUACUCCACCUUCUCCUCCUCCCUCCUCCCCUUCGUCUUCCCCCGGCCCGUUACGCUCCCUGCCCCGUUCCUCCCAGUCGCCGCCGCCCUCCUCCUCCGCCGCCGCAGUCGUCUCAUCCUCCGCCGUCCAGAUCCGUCCUGCUGCGCGUCCGUCCACGAGCAAGGCUCCUAGAUUAGCGAGAGCUCCUCCCCCGCGAGAUCCGCCAUCGCCGUCUCGGCGCCCGCAGCACCUUCUUCCGGAGGCGAUCCGCCCCUCGAACCACCGCCGGCGCGCCGUCCAGCUUAUAACGGUGCACUUGGUGUGAGCCAGCUUGGGUGGCGUUGUGGUAUCUGCUUCAUUAUCGUCUUAGCCUAUAUUUGCCCUUGGACCAAAGGCCGUUUGAGAUUGAUAAUAUGAAAUAAAGAAUCAUACAACGUCCAUGCAUUCAUCUGCAGAUGUAACCAUGCUGAUGGUUUUUCUUGGGCACACCUAUAUGGUGUUCUUGACACUGCCUUCCGUGCUCCAAUUCUAUGCAAACCGUAAGAUUGUUGCUGUUACUUCUGACGUUCUAUAAGUUUGGACCAUGGAGCGUGCACCACGUAACAGGGGAUUUCCAACUGAUCCCAAGGAAUAUAAGUUAUAUGAGGAAGUUGGAGAAGGAGUUAGUGCCACAGUUUACAGGGCUCUUUGUGUCCCGCUCAAUACUUUUGUUGCCAUCAAAGUUCUUGACCUUGAGAAGUGCAGUAGUGACCUGGAUGGAAUAAGGCGGGAAGUACAAACCAUGAGCUUGCUUGACCAUCCAAAUCUUCUUCGAGCAUGCUGUUCAUUUGCAAAUGACCAUCAACUUUGGGUUGUCAUGCCUUUCAUGGCUGCUGGAUCUGCCCUGCACAUAAUAAAAACUAAUUUUCCAGAUGGGUUUGAGGAAGCAGUCAUUGCCACACUUUUGUGGGAAGUUCUCAAAGCUCUUGUCUACCUACACUCUCAAGGGCAUAUUCACAGAGAUGUAAAGGCUGGAAAUAUCCUAAUAGAUACAAAUGGAGCUGUUAAGCUAGGAGACUUUGGAGUAUCUGCCUGCAUGUUUGACACUGGGAAUAGACAACGAGCUAGAAAUACAUUUGUUGGGACCCCUUGCUGGAUGGCUCCUGAAGUCAUGCAACAACUGCAUGGCUAUGAUUACAAAGCUGACAUCUGGUCCUUCGGGAUAACAGCAUUAGAACUAGCACAUGGUCACGCUCCAUUUUCGAAGUACCCUCCAAUGAAGGUGUUGCUUAUGACGUUGCAAAAUGCACCACCAGGUCUAGACUACGAGAGGGAUAAAAGAUUUUCGAAGUCUUUUAGGGACUUGGUUGCUGUAUGUUUAGUCAAGGAUCCACAGAAGCGUCCCUCUUCAGAAAAGCUGUUGAAACAUUCGUUUUUUAAGCAAGCGCGAUCAGCUGAUUUUUUGGCAAAGAGUAUUCUUGAGGGACUUACUCCACUGGGCGACCGCUUUAGGGCGUUGAAGGCAAAAGAGGCUGACUUACUUCUCAAUAACAAGCUUGGUCCAGAGAGCAAGGAGCAGUUAUCACAGAAAGAAUACAUAAGGGGCAUCAGUGGCUGGAAUUUUAAUCUGGAGGACUUGAAAACCGCAGCUGCCCUUUUAGACAGUUCAAAUGGCACAUACCAUUUUGAUGGUGCCAACAACAAAGAUAGGAAUGGGCUACAAGACGUUUAUAAUGAAUCAGAAAAUAUUUAUCAGGAAAGGGUUAACCAUGGUGCUUCUGCAAGGCAUGAUGAGCAUGAGAUACAAGAAGUAGAAGAUUUGGAUGGAGAUCUUGCCUCUUCCUUUCCAACCCGUCCCCUUGAGGCACUAAAGUCUUGCUUUGAUGUCGGCGGUGAUGAUGAUCCGGACCCUACUGCUACGAAUUUGCCGGUACAACCAAGCAUGGAGUCUAUAUCACCUGUGCAGCAGUUCUCAGAAAUGGACCAUAGUAGAAGUGACAACUGUAAUGGUGAAAAUCUGGAAAGAAGUGUCUCCGUACCCUCAAAUUUGGGAAAUAGUGUAUAUCCCAAGUUCUCAAGUGGUUCUCUUAUUCCUGAGCAUGUUCUUUCGCCUUACAAGAAUGUUGGUAGUGAUUCACGAAGGAAUGAAUUUCAUCAGAAAAAUCCGAGCAGCAGAAACCGGAGUGGCCCUUUGUUUUUCCGUCAAAUGAAGGACACACGCCCACAUCUGUCUGUUGCACCUGAUGAGGCGUCGGAAGGAAAUGUUGUCCAGCGAAGGGGGCGAUUUCAGGUCACAUCAGAUAAUCCUGGUCAAAAGGUAGCUUCAUCAGCAAGCAGCAACAGCAGGCCAAAUUUACCAAGUGGAGUAACACGGCCAGCUUCCAAUUCAUCCACAAUUCUACCGACACUACAAUUCUUGAUGCAGCAAAAUUCUAUGCAAAAGGAAGUGCUAAGUAGAUUGAUUUCUUCAAUUGAGGAAACAUCUGAUGCUUCCGAUGCAAGUACAGUUGGUUUGUCUCAGUCAUUUGGAUCGCUUGCCAGAGAGAAGGGAUUGGAGUCGUAUGUCGUCCAACUACAGCGAAGUGUCACAGAACUCUCUGAGGAAGUGCAGAGAUUGAAGCUGAGAAAUAAUCAGCUUGAGCAGCAGAUCAACGGGUUGUCGAAAAAAGACGAAAGGUUGCGAAGAGAGGGUAGUACCAAGCAAUGAUAUAUUAUAUUCCCCCCUAAGUCCCCGUUGUAUAAUUCAGCUCCCCAAUUUUGAACCUGGUUAGUGAAAUUAAUUGUAUUAUGUUUCGAAAUCAGGUAGUUGUAUCAAUUGUAAUUGUAAGUAUUUUAGCGAGUUCACAUUAUAGUAUAAUCUUUGAUUUGUACAGCAUGCUUUGUGUUAUCGGUGAGGAUUAGUUUCCGUCAACUACAAUGUUUCGAUAGCAACCGUUUGUGAACUUGUUUGCCC
Molecule: ribosomal RNA, 2987 nt
Filed under: Triticum aestivum (bread wheat)
Lineage: Eukaryota; Viridiplantae; Streptophyta; Magnoliopsida; Poales; Poaceae
Description: partial small subunit ribosomal RNA
Source: RNAcentral